Molecule: non-coding RNA, 91 nt
Filed under: uncultured Clostridium sp.
Lineage: Bacteria; Bacillati; Bacillota; Clostridia; Eubacteriales; Clostridiaceae
Description: TPP riboswitch (THI element)
Rfam family: TPP riboswitch aptamer (THI element)
About the family: Vitamin B(1) in its active form thiamin pyrophosphate (TPP) is an essential coenzyme that is synthesised by coupling of pyrimidine and thiazole moieties in bacteria. The previously detected thiamin-regulatory element, thi box was extended, resulting in a new, highly conserved RNA secondary structure, the THI element, which is widely distributed in eubacteria and also occurs in some archaea.
Source: RNAcentral
UUUGCUAGGGGUGCCAUAUGGCUGAGAGGGAUAAUUUUCCUAACUCUUAAACCUGAUUUGGAUAAUUCCAACGUAGGGAAGCAUAUUUUUA